RNAcentral lists this ribosomal RNA (253 nucleotides) under uncultured bacterium. Its description in RNAcentral is "partial 16S ribosomal RNA". It matches the Rfam family "Bacterial small subunit ribosomal RNA", at positions 524 to 776 of the family's 1533-position model. The record is from RNAcentral.
UACAGAGGGUGCAAACGUUGUUCGGAAUCACUGGGCAUAAAGCGUAUGUAGGCGGCUCCGUAAGUGUCGGGUGAAAUCCCACGGCCUACCCGUGGAACUGUUCGGUAUACUGCGGAGCUAGAGGAUGGUAGAGGAGAGCGGAACUCUUGGUGGAGCGGUGAAAUGCGUAGAUAUCAAGAGGAACACCGGUGGCGAAGGCGGCUCUCUGGUCCAUUACUGACGCUGAGGUACGAAAGCUAGGGGAGCAAACGGG